Molecule: ribosomal RNA, 443 nt
Filed under: uncultured bacterium
Lineage: Bacteria
Description: partial 16S ribosomal RNA
Rfam family: Bacterial small subunit ribosomal RNA
Source: RNAcentral
CCUACGGGAGGCAGCAGUGGGGAAUAUUGGGCAAUGGACGCAAGCCUGACCCAGCAACGCCGCGUGAAGGAAGAAGGCUUUCGGGUUGUAAACUUCUUUUCUCGGGGACGAGGCAAGUACCGGUACCUGUGGAAUAAGCCACGGCUACCUCCGUGCCAGCAGCCGCGGUAAUACGUAGGUGGCAAGCGUUAUCCGGAUUUACUGGGUGUAAAGGGCGUGUAGGCGGGACUGCAAGUCAGAUGUGAAAACCAUGGGCUCAACCUAUGGCCUGCAUUUGAAACUGUAGUCCUUGAGUACUGGAGAGGCAGACGGAAUUCCUAGUGUAGCGGUGAAAUGCGUAGAUAUUAGGAGGAACACCAGUGGCGAAGGCGGUCUGCUGGACAGCAACUGACGGUGAGGCGCGAAAGCGUGGGGAGCAAACAGGAUUAGAUACCCGUGUAGUC